This 531-nucleotide ribosomal RNA is filed under the name Pilosphaera zebra. RNAcentral's name for it is "partial 16S ribosomal RNA". The record is from RNAcentral. Lineage: Eukaryota; Metazoa; Mollusca; Gastropoda; Architaenioglossa; Cyclophoridae.
UAGCUAGAUUCAUAUUAGUUUGUAAUAAUCUCGAAGCCUAAAGAGCUAUUUUGUAGUAUCAGAGUGGGUGUGGCAUAACCUUUUUUAAACUAUAAAAUAGAAAUAAGAUGUUAUUCGUGUUAGGGGAUAGCUAGUUUUGGCAGAAAUGUAUAUAAGUACAGAAGUUGAAAAAGCUUGUUUUAAUUUAUUAAGACAUUUAAUAUUAACAUUUGAGUUAUUUAAGGAUAAGCUCUGGUAACAUGUUUAUAUAAAAGACUAGUAUAAAAAAUAAAUUUAGGCUUGGAAUUAGCCAGAAUUAUGAGUUUGUUUCUAAAAAUUUAUUUAUAAUACUGUCUUGCGGAUUUGAGUGUGUAUGCUAUAUAAGUUAUUUCUCAAGAUAAUAAUUAAACUUAUGCUAAGAUGAGUAUUAAACUAAACAGAAAUAAUAGCUAUAUUCUAAAAAGCUAAAUUUUGGAUUAUUAGAAAAUGAUAUACAUAUAAGGAACUCGGCAAAAACAAGCUUCGCCUGUUUAGCAAAAACAUGUCUCUUCG